This is a long non-coding RNA of Synchiropus splendidus (mandarinfish), 477 nucleotides long. RefSeq lists it as uncharacterized. NCBI's taxonomy places the organism in Eukaryota, Metazoa, Chordata, Actinopteri, Syngnathiformes, Callionymidae. The transcript is spliced from 3 exons. The record is from RefSeq and is a predicted model, not a curated record.
UAUCUUUAUUUAACAGCAAAAUAAUCACACAGGUUUUGAGCACCAGGCUGUUUUAAUAGGACAAAUAAAUGGCGAGAAGUGUCAUCCGGCUCUGAAGACGCCUCCUUUUCUGGGUAUAUAAGUGAUCAAGCCUUUAGACAUUCAAUGCAAGAAUCGCAGGGAAAUCCAUCCGGAUAAACAUGAAGACCUUCAGUAUUCUUGUUGCUGUCGUUCUCGCCGUCAUCUGCCUUCAGCAGAUCUCUGCUGUUCCACUCAUUCAGAUGGUAGAAACUGGGCAGGUGACUGAAAAUGUCACGCACUCGUCUGAACCUAUGUUCCGUCAGAAACUACACCCGGAACUUCUUCAUUUGCUCCUGUGGCACCUGGAUCAGGUCUAGAUGGUGUGAACUCUGAAAGUCCAGAAAAGUGUAUGAAGAAAAUUGUUCUGUCUUUGUCUGGUCACAGCUCUCAAACACACUGAAUAAACACCAUAGUGCA